This is a non-coding RNA of Triticum aestivum (bread wheat), 115 nucleotides long. Lineage: Eukaryota; Viridiplantae; Streptophyta; Magnoliopsida; Poales; Poaceae. The record is from Rfam.
UCCAAUGAUGAUAUGCCCAACAUUUGGAGGUGCAGAUGGCUCCAGGAUCCUGUUUACAGGAUGAACCUACCUGGAGGCGCUGUAUCCACAUGACAUCGAUGGGUAAGUCUGAGGU